RNAcentral lists this transfer RNA (78 nucleotides) under Thermochaetoides thermophila DSM 1495. Its description in RNAcentral is "Chaetomium thermophilum var. thermophilum DSM 1495 tRNA-Ile". The record is from RNAcentral. Lineage: Eukaryota; Fungi; Ascomycota; Sordariomycetes; Sordariales; Chaetomiaceae.
GCCCGAUUAGCUCAGCUGGUUAGAGCGUCGUACUAAUACCGUAUGCGAAGGUCAACAGUUCAAUCCUGUUAUUGGGCA